UACGUAGGUGGCAAGCGUUAUCCGGAUUUACUGGGUGUAAAGGGCGUGUAGGCGGGACUGCAAGUCAGAUGUGAAACCCAUGGGCUCAACCCAUGGCCUGCAUUUGAAACUGUAGUUCUUGAGUGAUGGAGAGGCAGGCGGAAUUCCGUGUGUAGCGGUGAAAUGCGUAGAUAUACGGAGGAACCCCAGUGGCGAAGGCGGCCUGCUGGACAUUAACUGACGCUGAGGCGCGAAAGCGUGGGGAGCAAACAGG
This 253-nucleotide ribosomal RNA is filed under the name uncultured bacterium. RNAcentral's name for it is "partial 16S ribosomal RNA". It matches the Rfam family "Bacterial small subunit ribosomal RNA", at positions 524 to 776 of the family's 1533-position model. The record is from RNAcentral.